This 466-nucleotide ribosomal RNA is filed under the name uncultured bacterium. RNAcentral describes it as "partial 16S ribosomal RNA". It matches the Rfam family "Bacterial small subunit ribosomal RNA", at positions 339 to 795 of the family's 1533-position model. The record is from RNAcentral.
CUACGGGUUGCAGCAGUGAGGAAUUUUGCGCAAUGGGGGAAACCCUGACGCAGCAACGCCGCGUGAGUGAUGAAGGCCUUUGGGUCGUAAAGCUCUGUCAAGUGGGAAGAACGUGCCUAUGGCUAAUAUCUGUAGGUAUUGACGGUACCACUGAAGGAAGCACCGGCUAGACUCCGUGCCAGCAGCCGCGGUAAUACGGAGGGUGCAAGCGUUAUUCGGAUUUACUGGGCGUAAAGCGCGCGCAGGCGGUUUUGUAAGUCGGAUGUGAAAGCCCCGGGCUUAACCAGGGAAGUGCAUUCGAUACUGCAUAACUUGAGUAUGGGAGAGGGAAGCGGAAUUCCUGGUGUAGAGGUGAAAUUCGUAGAUAUCAGGAGGAACAUCGGUGGCGAAGGCGGCUUCCUGGACCAAUACUGACGCUGAGGCGCGAAGGCGUGGGGAGCAAACAGGAUUAGAUACCCUAGUAGUC